Long non-coding RNA from Peromyscus leucopus (white-footed mouse), 1079 nucleotides. RefSeq lists it as uncharacterized. The record is from RefSeq and is a predicted model, not a curated record. NCBI's taxonomy places the organism in Eukaryota, Metazoa, Chordata, Mammalia, Rodentia, Cricetidae. The transcript is spliced from 2 exons.
UAGCAUAAGAAAGCCUCUGGAUUUGAUUUCCGGCACUGUGAAAUCAAUCAAUCAACCGUGAGUUAGACAGUCUUUAACUCAGGGUGACUCUGAAGAGGAGGAGGCCCACUCCCCCAUGCCAUGGUGGUCAGAGAGGCACAGUUGUCACUUCCCUGUAAACAGACAAGAGAGGCAGAGCAAAUGAGUCUAAGGGUGGCCUGUAUGCCAGCAGGCUCCAGGCACGUGGCCCAUAUCUAAUUUGUAGUGCCUGACCUGGGGUAGUAAAGAGAACCUGAUAAAGGUAGCCAGAGAUGAACUCAGAUCCUAUGUCUGCAUCCCUAAAGCAUGUUCUCAAAGGAGUUGUUUGCUCUUUAGUAACUCGUGAGCCCUGGGAGGAGCAGUCCUAUCAAGGCCAGCAAUGUCCCAGAUGUCACAGCAUCAGUGGCGAAAUGAAAAGACAUGGUUAAUGUGGGGCUGGUACAGAGCAGCUGAUUUAAGAUGUCACUGCAGCAGAGCUGGGAAUAGAGCUGGGUGUUAAAGACAUGUGCUUCCACUCAGAGCUCUUUUCUCUAAUUCCCUUGGUGCAUUAGGAAACAUUUGCUGCUGUGCAGGAGCAAGCACUUCACUGAGAAAUCACCAGAAGAGGAAGAUGGAUGGGGAAAAUAGAAAACAGGGAGGUUGACAGUUUAAGUGGAAAAAACCCUAGCAGUGUCUGGUACAAUCUCUGACUGAGGCUUGGAGAGAAAAGUCCAGAGAAGGAUGCGGCCACGCCUUCUGACUUGGCAAUAGUUGGAAGUCUCCAAACUAUCCUUCCAUGUACUUAGGAGUUUGGAGAACUGGACUGCAGAACAAAUGCUGGGAUCUGGGCUGAAGCCGACCAGAAGGCUUCUGUCCUCCUCCCUCCUGAGUCACUGUGGCUUACUUGGCCAGCUGGCCAGCUUGCUUAAUGUGGACAGUCAUGGGAGAGGCAUGUGGAAGGAGAGCCGGGAUGCAAUGGUCAAGCUCACCUCUCAGAAUCAUUGAGACACACAGCUUGCCACCAAGGUCCAUCAGGCCAUGUGACAAAGACUCUGACCAGGAACUGAAAUGUAACUCCUGAA